GACGUAGGGGGCAAGCGUUGUUCGGAAUUAUUGGGCGUAAAGCGCUCGUAGGCGGGACAGGAAGUUCGUGUUGAAAGACCUCGGCUCAACUGAGGGACCGGCUCGAAUACUCUUGUUCUUGAGGCAAUCAGAGGGUGAUGGAAUUCCCGGUGUAGCGGUGAAAUGCGUAGAUAUUCGGAAGAACACCAGUGGCGAAGGCGGCUCACUGGACUGGUAUUGACGCUGAGGUGCGAAAGCGUGGGGAGCAAACAGG
This 253-nucleotide ribosomal RNA is filed under the name uncultured bacterium. Its description in RNAcentral is "partial 16S ribosomal RNA". It matches the Rfam family "Bacterial small subunit ribosomal RNA", at positions 524 to 776 of the family's 1533-position model. The record is from RNAcentral.